CAGUCGCCGCGGUAAUACGAAGGUCCCAAGCGUUGUUCGGAAUCACUGGGCGUAAAGGGAGCGUAGGCGGCGUGGUAAGUCAGAUGUGAAAUCCCGGGGCUCAACCCCGGAACUGCAUCCGAUACUGCCAUGCUUGAGGGUUGGAGAGGUAGCUGGAAUUCUCGGUGUAGCAGUGAAAUGCGUGGAUAUCGAGAGGAACACUCGUGGCGAAGGCGAGCUACUGGACAACAACUGACGCUGAGGCUCGAAGGCCAGGGUAGCGAAAGGGAUUAGAUACCCCGGUAGUCCCUGUCUCUUAUAC
This 301-nucleotide ribosomal RNA is filed under the name uncultured bacterium. RNAcentral describes it as "partial 16S ribosomal RNA". It matches the Rfam family "Bacterial small subunit ribosomal RNA", at positions 509 to 807 of the family's 1533-position model. The record is from RNAcentral.